GGUAAGCUGGUGGUGGAGGGCGCGGAAAGAGAGAGGGUGUAAGCGGUAAUCGGAGUUGCGGGGCGUAAUGCGGGAGUAGGGGGCGGGCUAAGUAGAGUGGGAAAGCCCUGGGCUCAACCUGGGAAUUGCAGUCGAUACUGGAGAGGUAGAGUUCGGUAGAGGGUGACGGAAUUCCCGGGGUAGCGGUGAAAUGCGUAGAUAUCGGGGGGAACAUCGAUGGCGAAGGCAAUCACCUGGGCCUGAACUGACACUGAGACACGAAAGCGUGGGUAGCAAACAGGAUUAGAUUCCCUUGCAGUC
Molecule: ribosomal RNA, 300 nt
Filed under: uncultured bacterium
Lineage: Bacteria
Description: bacterial SSU rRNA
Rfam family: Bacterial small subunit ribosomal RNA (bases 52-300)
Source: RNAcentral